CUCCAUCUAAGGCUAAAUACGACCACGAGACCGAUAGCGAACAAGUACCCCGAGGGAAAGUUGAAAAGGACUUUGAAGAGAGAGUUCAAUAGAGCGUGAAACCGUUGCGAGCUUACAAAACGGAUGGGCAUACGACUCUUAACGCUGAGACACAAACCGAUCGGCUCGGAGGCCAUAGCGCCGGUUGCGACCGGAGUCUCCCUGAGGCCCUUCGCGGGGCGGCUCUUUCUUCGCGGCGCGGAGCAUUUCGGUGUUCCGUCGUCGGGGGGAUGGGGUCUCUCGCGAGUUUCGCGGCCGAAGGAUUUUCGGACUCUCGGCGAACGGCGCCUUGGACCGACGAGACGAGAGGUGCACUUCUCUGUCAGUAAGACGCCGCGCCCGUUGGCGGCGUUGCCGAUGGCCCGGGUUAAAACGGGAACCG
Molecule: ribosomal RNA, 421 nt
Filed under: Apseudes talpa
Lineage: Eukaryota; Metazoa; Arthropoda; Malacostraca; Tanaidacea; Apseudidae
Description: eukaryotic LSU rRNA
Rfam family: Bacterial large subunit ribosomal RNA (bases 1-105)
Source: RNAcentral